UACGAAGGGGCUAGCGUUGUUCGGAAUUACUGGGCGUAAAGGGCGCGUAGGCGGCGUGUCAAGUCAGGCGUGAAAGCCCCGGGCUCAAUCUGGGAACCGCGCUUGAGACUGGCAUGCUCGAGUUCGGGAGAGGAUCGGUGGAAUUCCCAGUGUAGAGGUGAAAUUCGUAGAUAUUGGGAAGAACACCGAUGGCGAAGGCAGCCAUCUGGACCGACACUGACGCUGAGGCGCGAAAGCGUGGGGAGCAAACAGGG
RNAcentral lists this ribosomal RNA (254 nucleotides) under uncultured bacterium. Its description in RNAcentral is "partial 16S ribosomal RNA". It matches the Rfam family "Bacterial small subunit ribosomal RNA", at positions 524 to 777 of the family's 1533-position model. The record is from RNAcentral.